Molecule: ribosomal RNA, 437 nt
Filed under: uncultured bacterium
Lineage: Bacteria
Description: bacterial SSU rRNA
Rfam family: Bacterial small subunit ribosomal RNA
Source: RNAcentral
AACGAACGCUGGCGGCAGGCUUAACACAUGCAAGUCGAACGCUCGUAGCAAUACGGGAGUGGCGGACGGGUGAGUAACGCGUGGGAACGUGCCCUGAGGUACGGAAUAACUGCGGGAAACUGCAGCUAAUACCGUAUGAGCCCCGCAAGGGGGAAAGAUUUAUCGCCUUGGGAGCGGCCCGCGUCGGAUUAGCUAGUUGGUGGGGUAACGGCCUACCAAGGCUUCGAUCCGUAGCUGGUCUGAGAGGACGAUCAGCCACACUGGGACUGAGACACGGCCCAGACUCCUACGGGAGGCAGCAGUGGGGAAUCUUGCGCAAUGGGGGCAACCCUGACGCAGCCAUGCCGCGUGAAUGAUGAAGGCCUUAGGGUUGUAAAGUUCUUUUGCCCGUGACAAUGAUGACGGUAACGGGAGAAUAAGCUCCGGCUAACUUCGUG